RNAcentral lists this ribosomal RNA (253 nucleotides) under uncultured bacterium. Its description in RNAcentral is "partial 16S ribosomal RNA". It matches the Rfam family "Bacterial small subunit ribosomal RNA", at positions 524 to 776 of the family's 1533-position model. The record is from RNAcentral.
UACAGAGGGUGCAAGCGUUAAUCGGAAUUACUGGGCGUAAAGCGUGCGUAGACGGUCAUGUAAGUCGGGUGUGAAAGCCCCGGGCUCAACCUGGGAACUGCAUCUGUGACUGCAUCGCUGGAGUGCGGCAGAGGGGGAUGGAAUUCCGCGUGUAGCAGUGAAAUGCGUAGAUAUGCGGAGGAACACCGAUGGCGAAGGCAAUCCCCUGGGCCUGCACUGACGCUCAUGCACGAAAGCGUGGGGAGCAAACAGG